Marmota monax (woodchuck) is the source of this 1701-nucleotide long non-coding RNA. RefSeq lists it as uncharacterized. The transcript has 4 exons. The record is from RefSeq and is a predicted model, not a curated record. NCBI's taxonomy places the organism in Eukaryota, Metazoa, Chordata, Mammalia, Rodentia, Sciuridae.
CCCAAACUAAAACAAACAAACUCAUUUGCCAUACAAAUUGUUUACGAUUCAUUAAAAAGCAAAAUUGCAUAUCCCGGAGCUGGCAGCUGAGGCCGAGCCUCCACGGGCGGAGGGGGUAUUCACUGAGUUGCCUUUGUAUGCUGGGACGACCACGCUGGAGGUUCCCACUAUGAACCGGAGUCUGUGCAGCCAGAUGACACAUGAGGUUAAGAAAAUGAGGCCCAGCAGAAACAAUUACUUGGAGUCAUCGAGCAAGUUCAUGUCAGAUGUUUUCAACUCUACCAUAGAGCACCUGGUCAAGGAAAAACACACACACACAAAAGAAACCCCCAACUCUGAAGCAUUCAUGGCUUGUGAAGAUUGAAGAGGAUAUUUCAUAUAAAGCUCCUGGGAAUAGUAAGUCCUGACAUAAAUUUAUUAAUCAAAAUAGUUAAUGAUAAUUUCACUGCUUUGUGUGAUUAAUAAGUGAUAAUAUAAAUAUGAUAGCAUUUUGAACUUCUGUAAUCAUUGUCAUAAUGUCUGCUUUGGGAAUUUGUGUUAAUAGAUCAAUAGGUAAAAAGAAAAUUAUAUUUGUGAGAGUGAGAGUAGAAAGCUGUUGCCAGAACUCCUCAAAAUAAUAAUUAUAGCUGAACUUGAUUGAUUGCCUGCAGUGACACAAUGCUGUGUAGUUUGCAGGAAUUGUCUCACUUGAUCAUCACUUCAAACCGAAGAGGUAGCUACUAUUGUCAUUCAGUACAGAGGCUCAGAGAGGUUAUGUAAUUUAACCCACAUCAGCUAAUAGGAGAUAGAACAUGACUUGAGCUGGGACAGUCUGAUGUCAAAGUUUCUGUUUCAACCACUCUAUUUUUGCACAUAUCUGAGGAGAACCAGAAAUCCCCAAUGCAGAGUUCACACUGAUCCUGGGUAGUUGACAUAUUGGAAUACUAGUCUGAAACAAGCUCUACACUGGUAUCAAACAGGAAAAUGCUGUUGCAACUCCCUGAGUGAAUUUCUCAGAGGAGCCCCAUGACAUGUACAACUAAGAUACCUUCGUGAGCAUUGUCCUAUAAAGGUGGUCUCGUGUGUCAUCCAUUAUUUGCAUUUGGGGUAUUAGUGAGAUGCACUGGGUGUGUACAGAUGGAGGAUGUUGGUCUGUAUUCCUGGGACAGCAUGUUGUGAUUGAUCAGAUCUGUUUGGUUUUCAAGAAUGUGCUCACAAAUGAUUCCACCAACAACCAAACUAUUACAUAUGCAUAUAUGAUGGUCUUAAUUUGGUAAUUGCAUUGUAAUGGUUAAUUUGAAAUUUUCAACUUGAUUGGAUUAAGAGAUGCCAAGGAUUAAGAGGCUUAUGGGUGUAUGGAUAAGGGUGUGUCUAGGAAUGAUUGGCAUGUGGGAUAACUGAAAUGGAGACUCUCCCUAAGUAUGGGCAGCACUGUCCAUGGCUUGGAUGGAAAAAAAGUUGGAACAACAAGGAAGCAACGAUUCUUCUUGAACGGGUUCUUGAUUGCUGCUGUGAUCAUCUGAGGAUAUCGGACUCUUGCUUCUUCACUCUUCCAAAGUGGACUCUGCCAGAGAUUCCCCAGAAGUCUCUGGUCUCGGACUAGAGUUGCACCAUUGAUUCCUCUUGUUCUGGGGCUUCAGCCUCUUGGACUGUGCAGCUACUGGUUCUUCCAGCUCUCCAGCCUGCAGACUACCAUUGUGGACUAUCCAGCUUCUGGUCAUG